GAGUUUGAUCAUGGCUCAGAUUGAACGCUGGCGGCAGGCCUAACACAUGCAAGUCGAACGGUAACAGGAAGCAGCUUGCUGCUUCGCUGACGAGUGGCGGACGGGUGAGUAAUGUCUGGGAAGCUGCCUGAUGGAGGGGGAUAACUACUGGAAACGGUAGCUAAUACCGCAUAAUGUCGCAAGACCAAAGAGGGGGACCUUCGGGCCUCUUGCCAUCGGAUGUGCCCAGAUGGGAUUAGCUUGUUGGUGGGGUAACGGCUCACCAAGGCGACGAUCCCUAGCUGGUCUGAGAGGAUGACCAGCCACACUGGAACUGAGACACGGUCCAGACUCCUACGGGAGGCAGCAGUGGGGAAUAUUGCACAAUGGGCGCAAGCCUGAUGCAGCCAUGCCGCGUGUAUGAAGAAGGCCUUCGGGUUGUAAAGUACUUUCAGCGGGGAGGAAGGGAGUAAAGUUAAUACCUUUGCUCAUUGACGUUACCCGCAGAAGAAGCACCGGCUAACUCCGUGCCAGCAGCCGCGGUAAUACGGAGGGUGCAAGCGUUAAUCGGAAUUACUGGGCGUAAAGCGCACGCAGGCGGUUUGUUAAGUCAGAUGUGAAAUCCCCGGGCUCAACCUGGGAACUGCAUCUGAUACUGGCAAGCUUGAGUCUCGUAGAGGGGGGUAGAAUUCCAGGUGUAGCGGUGAAAUGCGUAGAGAUCUGGAGGAAUACCGGUGGCGAAGGCGGCCCCCUGGACGAAGACUGACGCUCAGGUGCGAAAGCGUGGGGAGCAAACAGGAUUAGAUACCCUGGUAGUCCACGCCGUAAACGAUGUCGACUUGGAGGUUGUGCCCUUGAGGCGUGGCUUCCGGAGCUAACGCGUUAAGUCGACCGCCUGGGGAGUACGGCCGCAAGGUUAAAACUCAAAUGAAUUGACGGGGGCCCGCACAAGCGGUGGAGCAUGUGGUUUAAUUCGAUGCAACGCGAAGAACCUUACCUGGUCUUGACAUCCACGGAAGUUUUCAGAGAUGAGAAUGUGCCUUCGGGAACCGUGAGACAGGUGCUGCAUGGCUGUCGUCAGCUCGUGUUGUGAAAUGUUGGGUUAAGUCCCGCAACGAGCGCAACCCUUAUCCUUUGUUGCCAGCGGUCCGGCCGGGAACUCAAAGGAGACUGCCAGUGAUAAACUGGAGGAAGGUAGGGAUGACGUCAAGUCAUCAUGCCCCUUACGACCAGGGCUACACACGUGCUACAAUGGCGCAUACAAAGAGAAGCGACCUCGCGAGAGCAAGCGGACCUCAUAAAGUGCGUCGUAGUCCGGAUUGGAGUCUGCAACUCGACUCCAUGAAGUCGGAAUCGCUAGUAAUCGUGGAUCAGAAUGCCACGGUGAAUACGUUCCCGGGCCUUGUACACACCGCCCGUCACACCAUGGGAGUGGGUUGCAAAAGAAGUAGGUAGCUUAACCUUCGGGAGGGCGCUUACCACUUUGUGAUUCAUGACUGGGGUGAAGUCGUAACAAGGUA
RNAcentral lists this ribosomal RNA (1499 nucleotides) under metagenome. Its description in RNAcentral is "bacterial SSU rRNA". It matches the Rfam family "Bacterial small subunit ribosomal RNA". The record is from RNAcentral.